GCUUGGUGGAUCAAUGGCGAACGGGUGAGUAACACGUGAGCAACCUGCCCUGGACUCUGGGAUAAGCGCUGGAAACGGCGUCUAAUACUGGAUAUGAGACGUGAUCGCAUGGUCGUGUUUGGAAAGAUUUUUCGGUCUGGGAUGGGCUCGCGGCCUAUCAGCUUGUUGGUGAGGUAAUGGCUCACCAAGGCGUCGACGGGUAGCCGGCCUGAGAGGGUGACCGGCCACACUGGGACUGAGACACGGCCCAAACUCCUACGGGAGGCAACAGUGGGGAAUAUUGCACAAUGGGCGAAAGCCUGAUGCAGCAACGCCGCGUGAGGGAUGACGGCCUUCGGGUUGUAAACCUCUUUUAGCAGGGAAGAAGCGAAAGUGACGGUACCUGCAGAAAAAGCGCCGGCUAACUACGUGCCAGCAGCCGCGGUAAUACGUAGGGCGCAAGCGUUAUCCGGAAUUAUUGGGCGUAAAGAGCUCGUAGGCGGUUUGUCGCGUCUGCUGUGAAAUCCCGAGGCUCAACCUCGGGCCUGCAGUGGGUACGGGCAGACUAGAGUGCGGUAGGGGAGAUUGGAAUUCCUGGUGUAGCGGUGGAAUGCGCAGAUAUCAGGAGGAACACCGAUGGCGAAGGCAGAUCUCUGGGCCGUAACUGACGCUGAGGAGCGAAAGGGUGGGGAGCAAACAGGCUUAGAUACCCUGGUAGUCCACCCCGUAAACGUUGGGAACUAGUUGUGGGGACCAUUCCACGGUUUCCGUGACGCAGCUAACGCAUUAAGUUCCCCGCCUGGGGAGUACGGCCGCAAGGCUAAAACUCAAAGGAAUUGACGGGGACCCGCACAAGCGGCGGAGCAUGCGGAUUAAUUCGAUGCAACGCGAAGAACCUUACCAAGGCUUGACAUAUACGAGAACGGGCCAGAAAUGGUCAACUCUUUGGACACUCGUAAACAGGUGGUGCAUGGUUGUCGUCAGCUCGUGUCGUGAGAUGUUGGGUUAAGUCCCGCAACGAGCGCAACCCUCGUUCUAUGUUGCCAGCACGUAAUGGUGGGAACUCAUGGGAUACUGCCGGGGUCAACUCGGAGGAAGGUGGGGAUGACGUCAAAUCAUCAUGCCCCUUAUGUCUUGGGCUUCACGCAUGCUACAAUGGCCGGUACAAAGGGCUGCAAUACCGUGAGGUGGAGCGAAUCCCAAAAAGCCGGUCCCAGUUCGGAUUGAGGU
This 1209-nucleotide ribosomal RNA is filed under the name Microbacterium testaceum. Its description in RNAcentral is "bacterial SSU rRNA". It matches the Rfam family "Bacterial small subunit ribosomal RNA", at positions 82 to 1304 of the family's 1533-position model. The record is from RNAcentral. Lineage: Bacteria; Bacillati; Actinomycetota; Actinomycetes; Micrococcales; Microbacteriaceae.